GAUAAGUUUGUGUUGCCUGCUUGUAGCGCUUAUAUAUGGGGCUCGCGGGGAUGGAGCUUUUAUAGUUUUUUAUGCAACACUGUGCUGAAAUAUGAGUUAACAGAUUAUAGAUUCAUGAUCUGAACGUGUAAGAUUUGGCAGAAUCCUUAGUUUCAAGGAAUUUUGACACAGCUUCUGUUGACCAAGUACUUUUCCUGCUGUAAAGAGAAUGCUAGCUUCCAUUUCCAGAAAACCAAGAAGA
Molecule: long non-coding RNA, 241 nt
Filed under: Elaeis guineensis (African oil palm)
Lineage: Eukaryota; Viridiplantae; Streptophyta; Magnoliopsida; Arecales; Arecaceae
Description: long non-coding RNA (EGUI_LNC030834)
Source: RNAcentral